GAUGAACGCUAGCGGCAGGCUUAACACAUGCAAGUCGAGGGGUAUAGUUCUUCGGAACUAGAGACCGGCGCACGGGUGCGUAACGCGUAUGCAAUCUACCUUUCACAAAGGGAUAGCCCAGAGAAAUUUGGAUUAAUACCUUAUAGUAAUACGACUUGGCAUCAAGAUGUAUUUAAAGAUUUAUCGGUGAAAGAUGAGCAUGCGUCCAUUAGCUUGUUGGUAAGGUAACGGCUUACCAAGGCAACGAUGGGUAGGGGUCCUGAGAGGGAGAUCCCCCACACUGGUACUGAGACACGGACCAGACUCCUACGGAGGCAGCAGUGAGGAAUAUUGGACAAUGGGCGCAAGCCUGAUCCAGCCAUGCCGCGUGCAGGAUGACGGUCCUAUGGAUU
This 392-nucleotide ribosomal RNA is filed under the name uncultured bacterium. RNAcentral's name for it is "bacterial SSU rRNA". It matches the Rfam family "Bacterial small subunit ribosomal RNA", at positions 28 to 424 of the family's 1533-position model. The record is from RNAcentral.